Non-coding RNA from Rattus norvegicus (Norway rat), 2624 nucleotides. The record is from RefSeq and is a predicted model, not a curated record. NCBI's taxonomy places the organism in Eukaryota, Metazoa, Chordata, Mammalia, Rodentia, Muridae.
UUCUUUUUUUCCUUCAUCUUUAUUAACUUGGGUAUUUCUUAUUUAUAUUUCAAUUGUUAGUCCCUUUCCAGGUUUCCAGGCCAACAUCCCCCUAAUCCUUCCCCCUCCCCCUCUCUAGGGGUGUUCCCCUCUCCACCCUCCCCCCAUUGCCACCCUCCCCCAACAAUCAUGUUCACUGGGGGUUCAGUCUUGGCAGGACCAAGAGCUUCUCCUUCCACUGGUGCUCUUGCUAGGAUAUUCAUUGCUACCUAUGAGGUUGGAUCCAGGGUCAGUCCAUGUAUAGUCUUUGGGUAGUGGCUUAGUCCCUGCAAGCUCUGGUUGGUUGGCAUUGUUGUUCAUAUGGGGUCUCGAGCCCCUUCAAGCUCUUUCAGUCCUUUCUCUGAUUCCUUCAACGGGGUCCUGAGCAUUCCUUUUCUUAUAAGUUUGGGAAAUUUUGUGUAGUAAAGGCAAAUUAGUCAUCGCUGUGUGCUGUAUUAACAAAGUCUGGUAAGAUAAAUGCAGCCUCCAUGUCCCAAACAUUCCACCUAAAUAAAUGUAGAACUCUUUGAUUGAUUAAAUGUCUUUCACUGGCACCCCAUUAAAGAAAACACAUGUCUAAAAUACAUGUGUUAUUUCAUUAAAAAGCGACACGAUUAUAUUAUCUUUUAGUAUACUCAUAAGUUACAAAGUGACGGGUUGGUGACAUAUGCAAGGAAAACUCUGGAGCAGUUUUCCAGGACAUUACUUUUCUUUGUGUUAACUGCGUUGGCAGUCAUGCUGUUUAAAUGAGAAGUUUUUAUUUUGUAACUAGAAAAGGGUUUAAAAAAAUAGAACAAACUGUACUUUGAAACUUGAUAUUCUCUUUAAACCAAAAAACAUGAUUGUUAGAAGAUAUUAAGUAUCUUGUGAAGAAAGAAGAGAGCAUUGUGUUAAUAUGCAAAUUCCUGAUCCACACAAUUCAUCUGGUACAAAAAGCUUUGUUUCAGUUUUAUAAAAUGUGCAUAUCUGUCAUUUUAACCAAGUUUGUAAAAUAUCUAUUUUACCUGUGGUACAUACAUACAUACAUACAUACAUACAUACCAGUUGGUAGGCUUUUUGUAGAAGUUCUUGUAUGUACAUGUAUUGAGUUUUCACCAUGAAUAGAUGUUGAAUGUUAUAGGUGUUUUUCUACAUCAGUUGAUAAUAAACAUAUUGUUUCUUCCUUAGCCUUAUUAAUGCAGUAAGUUCCCAUUACUGAAUUUUAAAAUUGGAGCAUGUCUCACUUGGUUACGUGUAUUUUUCUUUGGUUGGGUCUUAUUUGCUAAUAGCUUGCUGAGAAAACUUCAGGUUUGUAGGUGCGAGGGAGGGAAGGGGGGAGGGAGAGAAAGAGAGAGGGAGGAAGGGAGAGGACAAGGCAGUAAAGGAGCUAGACAAAGAAAGAACCAGAGCCCUGGGCAGAACACUUGUAUAGCAGGAGUGGCCCAGGAAACUGAGGACUGUAUGAGGCAUGAGGAAGGGAACGAGCUAGUCAGUCCAUUUGCCACAACAAGGUGUCUGUCUCAGCGUGUUGAGGAAUUCUGUGUUCCCAAGAGAUUGCACUUGUUUCUUUAAACAUCGGGAAUAAUUCUCUUGUGAAAUAUUCUGUGCCUAGAUUUCUUUUUUCCCAGAAAAUUUUAAGCUGUUGAUCCAAUUUCUUUGGUUGUGGGAACAUUCAGGCCGCCUAUUUCAAUUUAAAUGGGUUUCAAUAGCAUGUGGUUUUCAAAGAAUUCGUGUGUGUGCAAAAGGGUUACUAGAUGUGUGUACCUAGGGCUGUUUCUAACACUCACUUAGGAACUUCACUUGUCUGUAGGGUCUGUAGGCUGGAUUUCCCUUCAUGGCUUUUAUUUUCUUCUGCUUUGGUUUGUUUAUGCCCCACACUUGUUUCCUUGUGUUUCUGAUGUUGAUACUUUGUGUCCUUCUCAAUUCUUUCUCCAUUCUUACUGGGGGGUAGGUGAUCAUGUUUGUUUCUUUUUUUUUAACAUUUUAAAAUUUUUUAAUUGGUUAUUUUCUUGAUUUACAUUUCAAAUGAUAUCCUCUUUCCUAGUUAAACACCCUAUCUUGUCCCCCCCACCCCCCAUCUCCCCUGCUUCUAUGAGGGUGCUCCCAGAAUCACCCAACCCCUUAUCACCCUAGCAUUCCCCUACACUGGUGCUUUAAGCCUCCACAGGCCUGCCCUCCCAUUGUUGCCAGACAAUGCCAUCCUCUGUUACAUAAGCAGCUGGAGCCCUGGGUCCCUUCAUGUGUACUCUUUGGUUGGUGGUUUAGUCUCAAGGAGCUUUGGGGGGGGGGUCUGGUUGGUCAAGUUUACUUCUUUUUUCCCUGUCUAAAGGAUUGCCUUUUUUUGUUUCAUUAACUCUCACUGUUAUUUGGUUUCAAAACUUCCUUUCUGCUCUAUUCUUCACUAUUUUCUCCCUUCCUUCUUGUUCUGGGUUUACUUUUCUUCUUCCUUAGCUUGUUCCCAAAUUGGAAGCUAACAUUAUUGAUUUGAGACAUUUCUACCUUGAUAACAUAAAUAUUUGAUGCUGUAAAUAUCCCAGCUUUGCUUAUGUUAAGAUCUGACUCUCAGAGGACAUGCUUCCAGAAGGUCAAACAAUGCUUCUAUUGAAAUAAAAUCUAAGUUUGCCACA